This 541-nucleotide ribosomal RNA is filed under the name uncultured bacterium. Its description in RNAcentral is "bacterial SSU rRNA". It matches the Rfam family "Bacterial small subunit ribosomal RNA", at positions 777 to 1310 of the family's 1533-position model. The record is from RNAcentral.
AAUAGAUACCCUGGUAGUCCACGCCGUAAACGGUGGGCACUAGGUGUGGGCGACAUUCCACGUCGUCCGUGCCGCAGCUAACGCAUUAAGUGCCCCGCCUGGGGAGUACGGCCGCAAGGCUAAAACUCAAAGGAAUUGACGGGGGGCCCGCACAAGCGGCGGAGCAUGUGGCUUAAUUCGACGCAACGCGAAGAACCUUACCAAGGCUUGACAUACACCGGAAAACCCUGGAGACAGGGUCCCCCUUGUGGUCGGUGUACAGGUGAUGCAUGGCUGUCGUCAGCUCGUGUCGUGAGAUGUUGGGUUAAGUCCCGCAACGAGCGCAACCCUUGUCCCGUGUUGCCAGCAGGCCCUUGUGGUGCUGGGGACUCACGGGAGACCGCCGGGGUCAACUCGGAGGAAGGUGGGGACGACGUCAAGUCAUCAUGCCCCUUAUGUCUUGGGCUGCACACGUGCUACAAUGGCCGGUACAAUGAGCUGCGAUACCGCGAGGUGGAGCGAAUCUCAAAAAGCCGGUCUCAGUUCGGAUUGGGGUCUGCAA